GAUGAACGCUGGCGGCGUGCCUAAUACAUGCGAGUCGAGCGAACGGACGAGAAGCUUGCUUUUCUGAUGUUAGCGGCGGACGGGUGAGUAACACGUGGAUAACCUACCUAUAAGACUGGGAUAACUUCGGGAAACCGGAGCUAAUACCGGAUAAUAUUUUGAACCGCAUGGUUCAAAAGUGAAAGACGGUCUUGCUGUCACUUAUAGAUGGAUCCGCGCUGCAUUAGCUAGUUGGUAAGGUAACGGCUUACCAAGGCAACGAUGCAUAGCCGACCUGAGUGGGUGAUCGGCCACACUGGAACUGAGACACGGUCCAGACUCCUACGAGAGGCAGCAGUAGGGAAUCUUCCGCAAUGGGCGAAAGCCUGACGGAGCAACGCCGCGUGAGUGAUGAAGUUCUUCGGAUCGUAAAACUCUGUUAUUAGGGAAGAACAUAUUUGUAAGUAACUGUGCACAUCUUGACGGUACCUAAUCAGAAAGCCACGGCUAACUACGUG
This 497-nucleotide ribosomal RNA is filed under the name uncultured bacterium. RNAcentral describes it as "partial 16S ribosomal RNA". It matches the Rfam family "Bacterial small subunit ribosomal RNA", at positions 28 to 507 of the family's 1533-position model. The record is from RNAcentral.